Long non-coding RNA from Cicer arietinum (chickpea), 1440 nucleotides. RefSeq lists it as uncharacterized. Lineage: Eukaryota; Viridiplantae; Streptophyta; Magnoliopsida; Fabales; Fabaceae. The record is from RefSeq and is a predicted model, not a curated record.
AUUCAUGACCAUCGUCAUCAUAAACUAACUAUCACUUUCUUUAAUUCUUCAAAAACGCAUUCUCUAAUUUCUCUCCAAACCCAAAUAUUUUCCUUCAUUUUUUAGCAACUUAGAAUCCUCCAAUCAGAAAACCUCCAACUACAAAGUUGUUUCACUACUUGAGAGGAUUGCAAAGAGUUGAGGAUCACUAGUUGAGGUACAAUAAAAUUGAGAGGUGUUGUUGGAAUCAUCAGAUAGGUUAUGCUACCACAGCGUAAGUUGCUUGUCUAAUAAAGCACUGUCGAGGUAAGGGCACUUUCUAACGAUUUUAUAUACGCUUGAAUGCAGAGUGUGUAUGUAUGCAUGUUCUUUGUGAUUGUGGUGAAUAAAGGUACACACGAUUGUUUAUGUAUUUUGAUGUCAUUAUGUAUUCUUAACUGAUAACAUAUGUGUUAUGAAUUUUAUUGACGAGAAUAUGUCUUGAGUAUGCUCUGUGAAAAAGUAUUAAAAAUUAUUAAUGUUUAAUGAGUAUUAGAAGGAGAGGUUUUUAAUAACUGCAUUUACAUAAUGAUUGAUUUGGAAGAGUCAGAGCAUGCUCAUGUAUUUCAUAGUUAAUGGUGAUCUUGAUGGGCCACAGUGUUAGUGGUGACUGUGAUGGGCCAUGGGGUGGUUCCUUAAGUUGAUCGGUCCACCUUAUCCUUACAAGGAUUUUGGAGUCGUGUAGGUCUGUGAUAGACAAAACUCUAGUAAAUCGUGCUGAACUGUGAUAGGUGGCACCUCAAUAAUUAGUUUUGGCCUGUGAGAGGCGGUACAUUUAUGAUUUACGCCCCUCGAGGAAGGUGAGGAAAUUUCAGAAUCAUGUGCAUUAGCAUAUAAGCAUUUCAUUAUGGUGCUUUGUCACACGAGUCAUGUUUGUUAUAUGAUAAUAUUUAUAUGCAUAUUUGUUUAUCAAUUGAUCCCAUGUCAUGUUAUGCUUUCGUGAUUUGUAUUUUCGUAUGUAUGUUGUUUUUAGAUUGUCACCCUCUACUAUUAUUGUGGAUCGGGCUUCCUCCCCAGGUUCUUAUAGUUUUGAGUUGUGCGAGAAUUGCAACGACGUCGAAGACAUGACAGAGUGAUGAUUUUGGAUUGACAAUCAAAAGCAGUGAGACUUGAUGCCACUAGUGGACCCUCAGUAUCCAGUCAUCCUCAGCUGAAGGAUUGGGAGUAUAGAGCAGUAUAAUUAAGAAAUUUUGAAUGGCAUUGAUUUGGAGUCUAGAGCAAUCAGGUGUCACAUUUACAAUUCACAUAUGACACAAUAGUAAUUGGAGAGUAGAAUUGGUGAAUAUGCAAGCAUUAAAAUCUAUAUUACAUUUGUUUGAAUUGACACCGAGUUUGAAGGUAUAAUUUUGUAAAAGUAGUUCUAUGUGGAUAAAUGUGUCUAGAACUUAGUUGAAAGAAUCAUCAUUGUUACUAAAGUGUAAA